Molecule: non-coding RNA, 72 nt
Organism: Bos taurus (domestic cattle)
Lineage: Eukaryota; Metazoa; Chordata; Mammalia; Artiodactyla; Bovidae
Source: Rfam
UCCCUAUUGGCUCAGCUGGUAAAGAAUCUGCCUGCAAUGCAGGAGACCCUGGUUUGAUUCCUGGGUCAGGAA